Molecule: long non-coding RNA, 1968 nt
Organism: Xenopus laevis (African clawed frog)
Lineage: Eukaryota; Metazoa; Chordata; Amphibia; Anura; Pipidae
Exons: 4
Source: RefSeq, a predicted model, not a curated record
GUACUACAUUAAUAUAAUAUACCUGGCAUUUUUUUAAAAUUUUUUUUAGAAUACCUAUUCUCCAUUGCCAUGGAAAACGGCGAAAAGGUGAUCACUUUGUGCGCGUCCCCGACGCUGAUCCGCCGCACAGUACCGGAAGUCAGUAACCGGAAGUCCAAAUACAGCGUGGGAGCCAGAGCGGUGAUUAGUGAAACUGCCGGCUGGGUAAACGAGCAGGCAGAGAGAGAGAGCGAGAUGCACGGGGAGGCAGGCAAUCUGAAGGAACGGCUGGGUAAAGGAGCAGGGAGAGAGAGAAAUACAGGGGGAGGCAGGGAAUCUAACGGAACGGCUGGGUAAACGAGCAGACAGAGAGAGAGCGAGAUGCAUGGGGAGGCAGGCAAUCUAAAGGAACGGCUGGGUAAAGGAGCAGGGAGAGAGAGAGAAAUACAGGGGGAGGCAGGGAAUCUAACGGAACGGCUGGGUAAACGAGCAGGCAGAGAGAGAGCGAGAUGCACGGGGAGGCAGGCAAUCUAAAGGAACGGCUGGGUAAAGGAGCAGGGAGAGAGAGAAAUACAGGGGGAGGCAGGGAAUCUAACGGAACGGCUGGGUAAACGAGCAGGCAGAGAGAGAGCGAGAUGCACGGGGAUGCAGGCAAUCUAAAGGAACGGCUGGGUAAAGGAGCAGGGAGAGAGAGAAAUACAGGGGGAGGCAGGGAAUCUAACGGAACGGCUGGGUAAACGAGCAGGCAGAGAGAGAGCGAGAUGCACGGGGAGGCAGGCAAUCUAAAGGAACGGCUGGGUAAAGGAGCAGGGAGAGAGAGAAAUGCAGGGAAUCGAACAGAACAGCAAGAGAAGAUAGAAAUGGUGGGAGAAAGAGACAAAACCAAUGAGGAGUACAACACUGUGGGCUAAAGACCGGAAGUGACGCCACAAACCAGGAAGUCGGGUGCCGGAAGAGAGACACAGCAGCGAGCACGUAAGGGAGAGGAAGAGAACAAGCAAGAAGAUGGCGGAGACCCUGUGGACGUCGUGGGACAGUGCCGGUUUUAGUUUUUCUGAUGUCUUACCCAAACAGCAGGAAAGAUCAGCAUAUUGGAGAAAAGGCGACAGGGCGACCAUCCAUCCUGCGGCGCUUGAUUUCUCCUGGUUAUUAUACUGACAGCAUGUGAAGGAGCGCGGACUGGGAAGAGGAACAAGGGACACUAAGCAGCAGCGCAGGAGGAGGAGGUAGCAGCACCGGUUCGGCCUCGGCUCCCCCCCCCCGCAGGCUGCAUGUGCUCCCGUGUCUGCACAGUGUCUGGAGGGGCGCCGAAGCCCCGGGGCAACCCAAACUAGCAAGGGAAAAAAAUGAGCAAUUCUGAAGAAGCUUAAAUGGAAAUUUCUACAUCUCUGGAAGCACUAAAAGAAGAGAUAUUGAUCAGUAUUAAUAGCCAAGAUAUGUUUGAAAACUUCUAAUGGUAACGUAUGGGCUCAAUAAAUUUGUUAAACAUAUAUAUAAUAAACCAAUGGCAUUUAAGGCCUAGUAAUUUUUCGUACUAAUGGAACUCUGUUGUUAAGAAUUUGUGAUGAAAAGAGGGCUUGGUAGGCUUUUUUAGGCAGUACUAAACCUGGAUAAUAAAUUGUUUUUUAUUCCCUAUGAUAUUUUUAUCUUCACAGUCACUGUUUUUCCUACUUCCACCUUAAAGACUUAUCGCAAAAAGUAAAGACACACAACAGACACCAUUGAAACGCUUCAAAAGACUUUAUUUGUACCAAACAAAAAUCUGUAUUGGACAUUGUCACGCUUCAGUAUGUUUUUCUAAAUAAUUUUUUCACUAAUCUUUUAGGCAAGGGUUAAUAAUUGGAAAGUUCGUUUCCAUUAUAUUGUGUCACUUCCUGUCUAACACCUUUUAAGUAAUGAUGCACUGAUUGUCUCCACACUUGACAAAGAGCCUUCUAUGGUUCGAAACAUGUAGUGUUGGCAAAUAAACACUGAUGAUUUAGCAGUUAA